This is a small nucleolar RNA of Suricata suricatta (meerkat), 144 nucleotides long. The record is from Ensembl. Lineage: Eukaryota; Metazoa; Chordata; Mammalia; Carnivora; Herpestidae.
UCUCCUUUGCUUGGUGGGGAUCAAGUAGGUGGUCCUCACUCCUGGAAUGCACUGAGGAAGAGGAAGAGGGCUCCAACAUCCUUUGUACUAUGUCUUUCUAUAUCUUUCAGUCCACCAGUUCUACCCUCAAGUGUCAGGACACGG